Molecule: long non-coding RNA, 893 nt
Filed under: Marmota monax (woodchuck)
Lineage: Eukaryota; Metazoa; Chordata; Mammalia; Rodentia; Sciuridae
Source: RNAcentral
CUCACAGCCUCUGCCUCUGAUGUCCUAGUCUGAACUUUCUUUUUCCAUUAAUAUGAAAGGCAUUGUCUUUUUUUUUCCCCCCUCUUCUUCUUCUUCUGUCUGGUGCUGGGGAUCAGUACAUGUUCUUGCACAUGAUAGGCAAGCACUCUACCAGAGCUACCCAUCGCACCCCCCAGCCCUUGCCUUUCCUUCUCAGUGUUUAGACAUUCGACCUUCCACUUGGAAAUUUUCUGCCUAUUCUUGAGUUACACCGAUCUUAACCAAUUUCUUUUGGGAAUGAAAUAACUCCACAGAAGAAUGUUAAGGUAAAAUCACCUCCAAAGUAUUCUCAGAGAGACAUUGGAGAGAGCUAUAUAUUUUAGGUGACCCGCUGCUCUAAUGAACGCUGUAAUGAAGUUAUUUGCAGACUGCAUACAUUUACUGAAACACCAGUGAGCUCAUAUGAUACUGUUGGCUGUGAAUUGUUUUGUGGCUGAUAAAACUGCUGUGUUCUUACUCUAGUAAAUGAAGCCAUUGGUCCAUUUUAUUUCUCAUAUGCUUUGAUGGCAGUGUUGAACUUUUGAUUUGCAAAGAGAAAAAAGAAAAUCCCCUAAGUCGAGAUGUUACAAGAGCGAAGCAGAAAAUUAUACCAUGUAAGGACAUAAUCUGUCCAUGAACUUUCUAAAUGGAAGAUCAUGCAAAUAAUGGACUGAAGUCAUCCUAGCCUUCAAAAGACCCACGCUGGGGGGGGGGGGGAUAACAGAAGGAGACAAAAAAGCUGUCUCAUGUAAUCCAAUCUCUAUCUUUCUGUAUGACUUCCUUAUCCUCCCUAACAACAUUUUGUCCACAAAAUAUCAUGGGAAGAAACAAGUGAAAGAAGGAAAAAAAUGGGAGGAAACAUUUAAGUUAUGCCU